UCUAGAGGCUCACUAGGCAUUUUGCUGUCUCGACGCUCAUUUUACAGAGUGCUUGGGAUUCCAUGUGUUUUUGCUGAACUUGUAAAGGCGACACCUGGAUGGUGGAUUAACAAGAACACUGACCUGUGGGCAGCCUCAGCUGAGAACAUUGGAUUUUCACCCUAGUCCAGCAGCUCUGCUGCUCACAUAGAUGCAGAUGAAUGAAGACCCCAUUCGGGAAGACACCUGGCCAGUGGUCCAGAGCUGAUGCAGAAGAAUCCUGUUGCCGCGCGUCGUUCUUGCUGGCGAGACGUUGGGCGCGUGACAAGUGGUGCCAAAACUCGGAAACCAACAUCGCCGGUGCCGAGGGGACCCUUCAGUGUGCUGAAGAGGAUUCAGAACUGCGAGAAGGGUGAAGACAGCCCGGUCUGGAUCCCGGAGCGCCUGACUUGCGGAGUGCUCCCCGAGCAAGAUGAUAUUGCAGCUGUUACUGAUAUGCCUGUCCCACCUGAUGAUUCAAGCAGAACCUCGAUGGGGGAUCCUGUCGGUGUUCCCGAAGCCGAUGCCAAUUCAUCAUGAUGCUAAAUUGUUUCCUCGCCUUUUUACAUCCAAUAAGUCCUUUGAUUUGCCCUUUUUGCCCUUAGAUGAGAAAGUGGCUGGCUUAGGGGAAUAUAAGAAUUUUUCCCUGUUGGGUAGCUUGUGCUUUACCCUAGUACGUAAUAUUUCCCAAAAUAAUGAUCCAUGCAUGAAGUUGUAUAAUCAGAC
Molecule: long non-coding RNA, 744 nt
Filed under: Rattus norvegicus (Norway rat)
Lineage: Eukaryota; Metazoa; Chordata; Mammalia; Rodentia; Muridae
Description: long non-coding RNA NONRATT012830
Source: RNAcentral